This 362-nucleotide ribosomal RNA is filed under the name Enterobacter cloacae. Its description in RNAcentral is "bacterial SSU rRNA". It matches the Rfam family "Bacterial small subunit ribosomal RNA", at positions 1018 to 1380 of the family's 1533-position model. Lineage: Bacteria; Pseudomonadati; Pseudomonadota; Gammaproteobacteria; Enterobacterales; Enterobacteriaceae. The record is from RNAcentral.
CUUCGGGAACUCUGAGACACGUGCUGCUUGGCUGUCGUCAGCUCGUGUUGUGAAAUGUUGGGUUAAGUCCCGCAAACGAGCGCAACCCUUAUCCUUUGUUGCCAGCGGUCCGGCCGGGAACUCAAAGGAGACUGCCAGUGAUAAACUGGAGGAAGGUGGGGAUGACGUCAAGUCAUCAUGGCCCUUACGAGUAGGGCUACACACGUGCUACAAUGGCGCAUACAAAGAGAAGCGACCUCGCGAGAGCAAGCGGACCUCAUAAAGUGCGUCGUAUCCGGAUUGGAGUCUGCAACUCGACUCCAUGAAGUCGGAAUCGCUAGUAAUCGUAGAUCAGAAUGCUACGGUGAAUACGUUCCCGGGUC